GAUGAACGCUGGCGGCGUGCCUAAUACAUGCAAGUCGAGCGAACAGACGAGGAGCUUGCUCCUCUGACGUUAGCGGCGGGCGGGUGAGUAACACGUGGAUAACCUACCUAUAAGACUGGGAUAACUUCGGGAAACCGGAGCUAAUACCGGAUAAUAUAUUGAACCGCAUGGUUCAAUAGUGAAAGACGGUUUUGCUGUCACUUAUAGAUGGAUCCGCGCCGCAUUAGCUAGUUGGUAAGGUAACGGCUUACCAAGGCGACGAGGCGUAGCCGACCUGAGAGGGGGAUCGGCCACACUGGAGCUGAGACACGGUCCAGACUCCUACGGGAGGCAGCAGUAGGGAAUCUUCCGCAGUGGGCGAAAGCAUGACGGAGCAACGCCGCGUGAGUGAUGAAGGUCUUCGGAGCGUAAAACUCUGUUAUGAGGGAAGAACAAAUGUGUAAGUAACUAUGCACGUCUUGACGGUACCUAAUCAGAAAGCCACGGCUAACUACGUG
This 497-nucleotide ribosomal RNA is filed under the name uncultured bacterium. RNAcentral's name for it is "partial 16S ribosomal RNA". It matches the Rfam family "Bacterial small subunit ribosomal RNA", at positions 28 to 507 of the family's 1533-position model. The record is from RNAcentral.